RNAcentral lists this long non-coding RNA (760 nucleotides) under Hordeum vulgare. RNAcentral's name for it is "long non-coding RNA (HVUL_LNC016852)". Lineage: Eukaryota; Viridiplantae; Streptophyta; Magnoliopsida; Poales; Poaceae. The record is from RNAcentral.
AAGUAUGGUUUUAAAAGAUACAUGUACAGGUAUGGAUCUAACUAUGAAAUCAUUCUCAGAUUUAACCACAGCUGGAUUACUGGUAGUAUGGAAGAUACAUCUUUCUCUGUUUUCCCUUUUCAGGCCAAGCGACGCCGAGAGGGGCUAGGCUGAAAGUGAAGUGGUGCUGUUCAGUGCUGCCUGACAGAUACAAAACAACGAGUUAUCCAUUGGACGAUCAAACGGCGCCGUCCAAUGUGGCGGACAGUCAGACCAUACUAGUUCUGACAUCCUAGGCAGAUUGCGGCAGUUUGAUGAACUUUUGCCCUAACCAACACUACGCCCUGCCCUGACUCCCUGAGGAAAGUGAACUUCUUCUCUCUUUCAUGUGUACAGCACCGAACAACGGAUAUGGUACCUUAAUUAGUUAUUCUUAUUAAGCUGCAGCCCUGCUCGGAAUGGGUGUAAAAUUUUACAAGUGUAUGCAUUCUACAAUUGUAAAUUACAGGUCACCUCUUGAUUUCUGCCUCGAAUUAAAACGACAGGAGAGGGCCUGUAUUCCAAACCGGCCAGAAACGAACUGAAACGUUGAUCCAAACGGGGCCUUACACAUCCGAUCGUAGUAUAUUGGGUCUACGAAUCCUACUUCACAUAUGCCGGCCAGCCAGCUUAGCCUCCCGCACAUGGCAGAGAGAAAGCGCGAACCGAAGCCGCGAGAUGCUAUAGUGGAGCGGCCACAAUCUCCACUGUGUACGUUGGUGUCAAACCAAACACAUACACA